This 253-nucleotide ribosomal RNA is filed under the name uncultured bacterium. RNAcentral's name for it is "partial 16S ribosomal RNA". It matches the Rfam family "Bacterial small subunit ribosomal RNA", at positions 524 to 776 of the family's 1533-position model. The record is from RNAcentral.
UACGUAGGGUGCGAGCGUUGUCCGGAAUUAUUGGGCGUAAAGAGCUUGUAGGCGGUUUGUCGCGUCUGCCGUGAAAAUCCGGGGCUCAACCCCGGACUUGCGGUGGGUACGGGCAGACUAGAGUGCGGUAGGGGAGAAUGGAAUUCCUGGUGUAGCGGUGAAAUGCGCAGAUAUCAGGAAGAACACCCGUGGCUAAGGCGGUUCUCUAGUACGGUACUGACGCUGAGACGCGAAAGCGUGGGGAGCGAACAGG